UAAAAAGAAGCUUUUAUAGAAGUAAUAUAGUUUUGUUAUAUUGAAGAAAAUUUUUUUCCUUUUUAA
RNAcentral lists this transfer RNA (66 nucleotides) under Clavelina lepadiformis (light-bulb sea squirt). RNAcentral's name for it is "tRNA-Lys". Lineage: Eukaryota; Metazoa; Chordata; Ascidiacea; Aplousobranchia; Clavelinidae. The record is from RNAcentral.